This 587-nucleotide ribosomal RNA is filed under the name marine Rhodobacteraceae bacterium RS.Sph.031. RNAcentral's name for it is "bacterial SSU rRNA". It matches the Rfam family "Bacterial small subunit ribosomal RNA", at positions 31 to 663 of the family's 1533-position model. Lineage: Bacteria; Pseudomonadati; Pseudomonadota; Alphaproteobacteria; Rhodobacterales; Paracoccaceae. The record is from RNAcentral.
GAACGCUGGCGGCAGGCUUUAACACAUGCAAGUCGAACGCCCCUUCGGGGGAGUGGCAGACGGGUGAGUAACGCGUGGGAACAUACCUUUCGGUUCGGAAUAGCCCCGGGAAACUGGGUGUAAUACCGGAUACGUCCUUAGGGAGAAAGAUUUAUCGCCGAAAGAUUGGCCCGCGUUAGAUUAGGUAGUUGGUGGGGUAAAAGCCUACCAAGCCUACGAUCUAUAGCUGGUCUGAGAGGAUGAUCAGCCACACUGGGACUGAGACACGGCCCAGACUCCUACGGGAGGCAGCAGUGAGGAAUCUUGGACAAUGGGCGCAAGCCUGAUCCAGCCAUGCCGCGUGAAUGAUGAAGGCCUUAGGGUUGUAAAAUUCUUUCAGCAGGGAAGAUAAUGACGGUACCUGCAGAAGAAGCCCCGGCUAACUCCGUGCCAGCAGCCGCGGUAAUACGGAGGGGGCUAGCGUUGUUCGGAAUUACUGGGCGUAAAGCGCUCGUAGGCGGAUUGGUCAGUCAGGGGUGAAAGCCCCGGAGCUCAACUCCGGAACUGCCUUUUGAUACUGCCAGUCUUGAGUUCGGGAGAGGUGAGCC